This 67-nucleotide transfer RNA is filed under the name Urocricetus kamensis (Tibetan dwarf hamster). Its description in RNAcentral is "tRNA-Phe". It matches the Rfam family "tRNA". Rfam says of the family: Transfer RNA (tRNA) molecules are approximately 80 nucleotides in length. The record is from RNAcentral. Lineage: Eukaryota; Metazoa; Chordata; Mammalia; Rodentia; Cricetidae.
GUUCAUGUAGCUUAACACACAAAGCAAAGCACUGAAAAUGCUUAGAUGGAUCUAAAUCCCGUAAACA